CAAGGAAGAUAACACCCCUACCUUCCAGUUUCAGUCAAAGGGUAGAAGUCUAACUUUGUGAGUUCCUUGCUCCAAACUGCAAACCUAUCUCCUGUUACAAAGAUACAGAGAAGUUGUUAGUCCUGUGGAUAAAGUCAGUUACCUAAAUAGAUGAUCGCCUCAACUGCUAGCAAGCUGCCAUGCUGUUGGUAGCAUUUUAAAAAGACAAGCAUGGCGAAGAAAGGAUAUCUCUGCCAAGCAGCCAGGAACAUCCUGAGGCCUGUCAGCAGCCCUUUCCGUGAAACUGGAAAUGGAUCUUCCCCUUGUGAUGACUACAGUCCCAACUGAGAGCUUGACUGCAACCUCAUGAGCAGCCCUGAGCCAGAGACACUGAGCUAAUUUCUGCCUGAAUUCCUGAUUCAUGGAAAUUAUGGGCUAAUAAAUAUAUCUCAUUUUAAGCUACUAACUUCUGAGGUGAUUUGUUAUACAGAAUAUAUAU
RNAcentral lists this long non-coding RNA (478 nucleotides) under Homo sapiens (human). RNAcentral describes it as "HSALNT0297126". The record is from RNAcentral. Lineage: Eukaryota; Metazoa; Chordata; Mammalia; Primates; Hominidae.